Molecule: non-coding RNA, 37 nt
Submitted as: unclassified sequences
Source: Rfam
AAGGCGGCAUCCGAAAAGCCUAAAAAAAGAGUAGGAA